This is a non-coding RNA of Pelobates cultripes (western spadefoot toad), 283 nucleotides long. The record is from the annotation of a GenBank genome assembly. Lineage: Eukaryota; Metazoa; Chordata; Amphibia; Anura; Pelobatidae.
CGUUUAGAGAGCAUUUACACCAUCCUAUGUAUCUAAUCAUCAUGAACCUGGCUCUUUCUGACCUCAUCUUCGACACAAUUACAUUGCCCAAAGCCAUAGCCAUGUAUUGGUUUGGAGAUGGGAAGAUAUCCCUUGUGGCAUGCAUGUUCCAGUUAUUUGGUGUCCAUUAUUUGGGAUCUUUUGAUUCUUUCAUUAUCAUGCUAAUGGCUAUUGACCGUUAUGUUGCCAUUUGCAAACCGCUGAGAUAUUCUUCAAUAAUCACUAAUAAAGUGACUGUUUAUCU